AUUGAACGCUGGCGGCAGGCCUAACACAUGCAAGUCGAACGGUAACAGGAAGCAGCUUGCUGCUUCGCUGACGAGUGGCGGACGGGUGAGUAAUGUCUGGGAAGCUGCCUGAUGGAGGGGGAUAACUACUGGAAACGGUAGCUAAUACCGCAUAAUGUCGCAAGACCAAGGAGGGGGACCUUCGGGCCUCUUGCCAUCGGAUGUGCCCAGAUGGGAUUUGCUUGUUGGUGGGGUAACGGCUCACCAAGGCGACGAUCCCUAGCUGGUCUGAGAGGAUGACCAGCCACACUGGGACUGAGACACGGUCCAGACUCCUACGGGAGGCAGCAGUGGGGAAUAUUGCACAAUGGGCGCAAGCCUGAUGCAGCCAUGCCGCGUGUAUGAAGAAGGCCUUCGGGUUGUAAAGUACUUUCAGCGGGGAGGAAGGGAGUAAAGUUAAUACCUUGGCUCAUUGACGUUACCCGCAGAAGAAGCACCGGCUAACUCCGUG
This 490-nucleotide ribosomal RNA is filed under the name uncultured bacterium. Its description in RNAcentral is "partial 16S ribosomal RNA". It matches the Rfam family "Bacterial small subunit ribosomal RNA", at positions 30 to 507 of the family's 1533-position model. The record is from RNAcentral.